Molecule: long non-coding RNA, 6950 nt
Filed under: Sus scrofa (pig)
Lineage: Eukaryota; Metazoa; Chordata; Mammalia; Artiodactyla; Suidae
Description: lncRNA (ENSSSCG00025005214.1)
Source: RNAcentral
AGCAGACCCGAGACGGCCCUCCUAGGAAACCCCACGAGCAAGGUCAGCCCUUGGUGGGCAUCUGGGAAUGUGGAGUUGAGAAAUGUCACCACCGUUCCUGAUAAGAAAGGCUCCCUGGGCUCAAUUGUUUGCACAGUGUGGCUUGUGCUGACUUGUUAUUCCUCUGAGAGUCUGGAAUGUGGGCACGAGCUUGGCAGGGGGUAUCUCUGAGACCAGUCCACCUAAAACCCUGCAUGGAGAUUCUGCAAUAAACUUCCCUGGUAGCCGACAUGUCACACAUGCUGUCACAAAUAAACAGUGUGCUCUCUUGCGCACAAGCAUGCACACUCACACACAUACACACAAACACCCCCCCCAACACACACAGGCUCCAAACAAGCAAACAAAAACCCAACCCCUUUCGUUUAUGAAGGACUGAGAAAGUUGCACGUCAUAGUAAGUAAAGUAAGUCAGAAAGAGAAAGACAGAUAGCAUAUGCUAUCACCUCUCUGUGGAGUCUAAUAUAUGACACAAAUGAGCUUUUCCACAGAAAAGAAACUCGUGGACUUGGAGAACAGAGUUGUGGUUGCCAAGGGGGAGUGGGAGGGAGUGGGAUGGACUGGGAGUCUGGGGUAAACAAAUGCAAACCAUUGCCUUGGGAAUGGAGAAGCACUGAGAUCCUGCUGUAUAGCACAGGGAACUAUAUCCAGUCACUUGUGAUGGAACAUGGUGGAAGAUGAUGUGAGAAAAAGAAUGUGUAUGUAUGUGUGUAUGUAUAUAUAUAUAAAGCUGGGUCACUAUGCUGUGCAGUAGAAAUUGACAGAACACUAUAAAUCAACUACCAUGGAAACAAUAACAAUCAUAAAAAAGUGAUGGAUAAUCACCAUUCGAUUUUGAAUUAAUCACAAGCUUACACUAUGGUUUAAAUAUGUGAGAAGAAAGAUUAUCCAGCCCACUGGAAGAUGAGAAAAACUUUUAAAACUUCAGAAUGGUCCCAAUCCCUUGAACAGUCAAAAAUACUUAUUCCAUUCAGUAUAGAGAUAUUUUAAAAAUCUGAACGUUGUUUCACACAUAAGGUGUAUCUUCCCAAACUCUGGUCAUAAAGAAAGUAGCAACUUCAGGAGCCAACGUGUUAAAAUUAAGGUACGUUCUUAACUUAGUUUAUGGACUUUCCCAUCAGCUGCUUACCUUGAUGCUAGAAACCCAGAACUCAGGGUGGACUGUUAGAUAAUGGAAAGGCUUCUUGUGAUAAGAAAAAUCACCACCUUAUGAUUUACAAAGUCACUGACAUUGUAAAGUAAUGUUCUCUGGUUUACCCCAUUAACGCUUCCAAACUGAGUGCUCAUUCUUAGACAACAGCCCUGGAUCACCUGUCCCUUUAGUUUAUUUAAGUAAAUUGGAAAAUUAACGUCACGUUGUCUUCUGGCUGAAGGGAAAUGGUGAGCGUCGCCAAACCUGUAAAUGUCAAUUUCUCCCCAGAUCCAAGGGAUAUUCCUAGAUGCCUCUUAAUUAUUUCUGACAUCAGCCUUCAGACUAGCCGUGAUAGACCCUCUUAUUUUAGGGGAAAAAAAAUCUUAACAACACAAUAAAUCCAUUUCUCACCCCACCUUCAUUUUUUCCAGAUGACUCUCAGAUUGAAUUUUUUUCCCUUUAAAAUUCAUUUUAAGCAUUUUCUCAGGUCUGUGGUGGCCCCAUGAAUGCUCUCUAUAGGAAGAGAGAAUAUAUUUUAGAGUGUAUUUUUUAAAAGAUACAUAAUAAAAUACCCUGUGUGUCUUUAGAGUCAGUUUUUGUCUUCAAGCUUCAGACCCCACAAUUCUUUCCCCCCGCCCUCUUCCUCAAGAUUCUUUCAUUUGUCUUUUUUUUUUUUUAAAUUGUAGUUGAUUUACAACAUUGUGUCAAUUUCUGCUGUACAGCAAAGUGACCCAGUCAUACAUAUAUAGACAUUCCUUUUCCAAUAUUAUCUUCCUUCUUGGUCUAGUCCAGGAGACUAGAUAGAGUUCCCUGUGCUGUACAGUAGAGCCUCAUGGCUUAUCCACUCUAACUAUCAAAGUUUGCAUCUACUAACCCCAAACUCCUCGUUCAUCCCACACCCUCACUUUUCCCCUUGGCAAACACAGGUCUGUCCUCUAUGUCUAUGGAGAUCUCAUGAUUCUUGAUAAAACACUGAAAGUCUAAGCCAAGUCAACAUGGGAGUAUGCACGCAACCUUCAAAAACCAUUUGCCUAUGUAGAAAAUAUAAACCAGAAGACAAUGGCAGAAAGCAAAAAAAUCCACUUUGGCCUAACACAUAAGACCAAAAUGUACACAAUAAAUCAGCAAUGUGAAUGAACCCAAGAUGGGCUUUUCUAAGCCCAGGUGAUGAGUAAGUCCCAGGACCUGUCCUUGGGGCUGUAACAGCUUCCAGCUUCCAGCUGGGGCUUCCAGCUUCCACCUUUCUACCCCAGGGGUGUCGGUAUCUUUUACUCCUGGGUGAGAAAAAGAAAUAUGCAUUGUCGCAAAUAACCUACUGAUUCAUUGCCAAUGUUUCAGAGAUAGGAACCAGGAAAAGACUAGAAGAUGCAUGAAUGGAAAAUGGGCCUGUCCUCCGAGGCCCUAGAGAGAGCAGGUUUGGUGCAGAGAGAACAGGAGAAGAGCUGUGGUGUAGGUCACAGAUGUGGCUUGGAUCCCGUGUUGCUGUGGCUGUGGUGUAGGCAGGCAACUGCAGCUCCAAUUCGACCCCUAGCCUGGGAACGUCCAUAUGCUACAGGUGUGGCCCUAAAAAGCAAAACAUAAAGAACAGAAAUAAAAACUAAAGCGAUCACUGAGAUGGAUAAAGUCAUACCUCCACUCACCACUGCUUCCGUGUGAUGCCCUCGCCUCAGGUUGGCUUCUAGAAGGCCUGGCGGUGGAAAGAAACAGACCGGGAAGGGAUACUGUUCAUCCUUCUUGUGUCCUCUUCAAAGACCACCUGCUAGUCCCCAAUACCAUAACUGUAUUGGUAUAUCAUUGUGAUGAAUUCAAGCCCAGAAGUGGGAAUCUCUUCUAAUCAAAUAUUUGAUGACUCCAUCUUGGCAGUUGCUAAACUAGUUCCAUGACUUUCUUCUCCCUUUCUGGUGAGUGGGCCGUGUUGCCUUUCCCAGCAGAUUUUCUUUUUAAAGAAGACAUUAACCACCAGAAUGGUCUCCUGAGCCUUGCAGAAGGUUAGAAUCGCUGAUCCUGGAAUCCUAUUCCCCUCUCAACCUGGCCGGCCCAUGCCACUUGAUUAUGCCUGCUGAGCCUUCUAUCCUGGACCAAAUGGUUUGUUUAGUUGACUAGCAGAGGCUGAUCACAUUAGCUUUCAGGACAUCAAAAGACUGCUCAAAGGGAGUAUUUGUCACCUUUUUAUGGUUUACGAGACAUCAUGCUCCUGGUUUUAACGGACUGUACUACGUGGAAAAAAGACUUUCAUCUCUGUACAUCUUCAGUGCCUGCCUCAGCCCUCAGCAAACAUGAAUGAAGAAAAGGAAUAAACAAUGCCAUCUAUUUGAUCUACCUGAAGGCUUUGGAUAAAAUCAAUCCUGAUAGUAAAGAUGACACUUAUAAGUGUGCUAUAAUGCUUGACAGGACAAUUAUGAAGAGAAGUAAUGCAUUAGCACUUCUUUUUUUAUUUUUUGUGUUUUUAGGGCCGUACCCACAGCUUAUGGAAGUUCACAGCCUAGGGGUGGAAUCGGAGCUAUAGCUACUGGCCUACACCACAGCCACAGCAAAGUGGGAUCCAAGUUGCAUCUGCGACCUACACCACAGCUCAGGGCAACAAUGGAUCUUUAACCCAAUGAGCAAGGCCAGGGAUUGAAUCUGUGUCUUCACAUAUACUAGUCAGGAUUAUCACUGCUGAGCCAUGACAGGAACUCCAGUACUUAUUUUUUAAAAUUGAUUUUUAUUUUAUGGGUGCACCCGUAGCAUAUAGAAGUUCCCAGGCUAGGGACUGAAUCUGAGCCACAGAUGCAACCUAAGCCUCAGCUGCGGCAGUGCCAGAUCUUUUAACCAACUCCACUGCUGGGCCAGAGAUGGACUCCAUACCUCUGCAGCGACCCGAGCUGCUGCAUUUGGGAUUCUUAACUCACUGCACUACUGCAGGAACUCCACCCUAGUACUUCUUCAUUCUUGUGUUAGGCACACUCCCUGGCUCAAAUACCUAAGGGCUUAAAUAUGUGCAUUUUAUGCUAUCAGUAGAAUUACCUCUAUAGUUUAGCCUUAAUAUGAAAAAAAAAUGUAAAAUCUUUCCUUAAUGUCUAUUUUUGUUGGCUUAGAGUAUGUAUGUAUGUAAUGUGGCUGGAAUUAAUUUUACCUUUGUGCAUAGCCAUCUACAGACAAUUGUCAUACAGGCAUCCUCGGUUACCAUAACCCAACCAUUGACAUCUUGUCUAGAUAAAUCGUGAAUGUUUCCCACUCCCGGUCGAUUUUCUCAGAGCUGAGAGACAUUCAAGCAAAGAUACACUUGGGGCUCAACUAGACAGGGGUUGGGGCACAUACGCACGGGGACUGGUGAUGCAGGAAACCCACAGGAGACGGAGGAUCUACCUUUACGAACUUCAGUGUCCAUAAGAGAACAAAAUGCUUCCAACAGCCUCACCAUCCACUGUAUGAGAAAAAUCUCUGGCAGCAUUUCUCUGUGUGUAUAUGGAUUCCAUCAGGAGCUGCGGUCUUAAGGGCAAAACGAGAGCCCCUUUCUCUGCAAAUGCUGCAGAGUUUUAUAACUUCUCUCCCAGCAGACACAUCCCAAGUUCCCAGUUCUCCUGCUUACCAUUCCCACUGUACCUGGGACUACUCAGUAUAAGGGGUCAAUUCGAUAAAGAAAAUGCAUCUAAGAUGAAAAUAUAAGGACAUUACCCGCAAAAGGCAACUUGGGGUAUUUUCAGGAACCCAACUGGGAACAUUCUUAGGUCGAUUAUUGGAAAUCUUUGGAAACGUUCACACUAAAAUGUAAAUAUUCUGAUAUUUCAGUACAACCAAUCAGGUGUAGAACCAAGACACUAGUUUUGAGUCUGAUGCUAAUUAGCAGUGCGAUUUUAGGCAACAUAAUAAAGUUCCUGGAGUUUCUCUGAAAUGCAAGAGUUUGGGAUGACUAAUUUAACCUUAACGUCCGGUGAAGUUAUGAGGUCCUGGACUAUAAUCUUCUUUCUGGUCUUUAUUAGAGAAAUAUAUAUUAUGCUGCAAUAUUCCUUUAUUGGAUUAAAGGGUUUCUCCUUCCUCCACCAUAAACCAUUUUUAAAAUGGUUUUCAUGACUUAUCUCUAUUUCCAUUUUGUAUUUGAAUGACACUCAGCUCAUCCAGAUUUUUAAGAGAGCAAUGCUAAACCCUCAGGAGAUUAGGCUGGGAUGCACCAUUUAUAAAAUAUUUAUGGCAUCUAGUAGAGAGCUCUGAAUAAUAAAUGGCUUCUAUUUAAAUGAUGAUAGACUGUUUAACAUUUUCAACUUUGCUUUUUCAGUAGCUAUAAAGUAUUCUCAAUCUCAUUUGAUUUGUGAUCUUCAGAAUAGCUCUAAUCAAGUAUAUAAUUUAAUAAUCUUAUUCACAGAUAAUUUUUAUCUAUAUUUGGUUUUGCUUUUUGUUUCAUAACAAUAGUAGGAAAGGAUCCCCAACAAAAAUAAUUUUGUAGAUUAAAGUUGGAAGCCUCUGGUUUUAGUUUGGAAAAGCCACAGUUAGUCUGAAAUGCAUUAUUAAGCUGUCUGUAAUGAUACUGAAAAGCUGGAGAGGUUUAAUUCCACAAUAGCUGUUUCAUUUUUAAAUUCGACACAUCUUCAGUUUAUGUAACAUGUCUGAAGACUGCACAGCUGUUUUUAUUUAUAGCCUAACGGCGGGAUUUCACGUGUCAAAGAUGCUAUGACAAAUAAGUGUCCUCGUGCGCACUGCAUUCUGGGAGGAGGUCCACUUACAAGCCAACAAGAUGUCAAGAAGUAUCACUGUAAUCCUUGUAGCCGCAAAGAGACUGAAUUAUGAUUCUUCUCCAGUUCUUACUCUCCAAGAGCUAUUACAAGAGAAGUUCCCAUGAUGCAGGAGAGCCCAUUAAUUUACAUAACAUGCUUACUAUUUUCAGUUAAAGAAAAGGAAGUUAAACUCAUCUUCAGGCCUUAAUACUAGCCACAUUCCUCAGCAGUAACAGGAGGGUGGUACACUACAGUGAUGCCAAGACUCUGAUAAGCUGGCAGGUAGUGAGGAGGUGUGUCUCAGGGGCUUCAAAGAGGAGUUCUGGGUUUAUAGGCAUAUCCAGUCACUGGCUUGCCUGUGUCUGAUAUGGGUGACUUACAGGGCUUCUCUCAAAAUUCUGCCCCAUACAAAGACUCUACAGAGUCUAAGGACUGGCAGUGCCACUUAUUCAUUGCCUGGAUCUCUUACAAAGUAAACACCAAAUUUAUUCUCCUACAUACAAGUACAUGACCUAUCGUUGUUUUCCAAGCAAAGACUGAAAGGUACCAAGUGGAAGACCUUUGCCAUUGCUUCUUCAAAAAACAUUGAUUAGUUCCCAGCUCAUCCUUCUCAGUCAAGCUGGCUAUAGGAACCCCAGGGGUCUUCCUUCUCCUUGCAGUACAGUUGACUUGCUGAUGGCCAAUGGACUCACCCAACUCCAGAUUAUGUCAAGAUCAGCUGGGUUCAUGUGCCCUGGCAUGAUGGUCUUUGCAAGUAAGGCUAUUUGAAGAGGCAAUAAAACAUAGGAUUUUUAUUUCUCUCUCCUUUGCGACUGCUUGUUUUAAACUGCAGUUAGGCUUGUAAAUAUUUUUGUUACCAAGAAUCACUGGACUAUAGAAGGAUUGCAACUUCAUUAUACGUUUUUCACAUUGGUUUCUGUGAGAGCUCUGUGGCAGUGUUUCAGGCAUUAAGUAGAACAAGUCUUCGACAGAGAAGAGUAAAACCUCAUGCAAUAUCCCAUCCGUAUUGGGAAGAUUGUCUAAAAAUUGACUGCCUUUGACAACAGGAACAAUAGGUCUGUUAUUCAUGUUACAAAAAAAAAAAAAAAA